CCCUUAGAUGUUCUGGGCUGCACGCGCGCUACACUGAUGCAUUCAACGAGUCUAAAACCUGCUCUGAUAGGGGUGGGUAAUCUUUUGAAUGUGCAUCGUGAUUGGGAUAGAUGAUUGCAAUUUUUCAUCUUCAACGAGGAAUGCCUAGUAAACGCAAGUCAUCAGCUUGCAUUGAUUACGUCCCUGCCCUUUGUACACACCGCCCGUCGCUCCUACCGAUUGAAUGAUCCGAUGAAUAUCAUGGAUUGAGGAUGUAAGCAGGUUCGCCUGUCUUCAUCUUCGAGAAGUGAAGUAAAUCUUAUCAUUUAGAGGAAGGAGAAGUCGUAACA
This 329-nucleotide ribosomal RNA is filed under the name uncultured eukaryote. Its description in RNAcentral is "partial 18S ribosomal RNA". It matches the Rfam family "Eukaryotic small subunit ribosomal RNA", at positions 1470 to 1796 of the family's 1831-position model. The record is from RNAcentral.